AGAGUGAACGCUGGCGGUAGGCCUAACACAUGCAAGUCGAACGGCAGCACGGUAAGAGCUUGCUCUUAUGGGUGGCGAGUGGCGGACGGGUGAGGAAUACAUCGGAAUCUACCUUUUGGUGGGGGAUAACGUAGGGAAACUUACGCUAAUACCGCAUACGCCCUUCGGGGGAAAGCCGGGGACCAGCAAUGGCCUGGCGCUGAUAGAUGAGCCGAUGUCGGAUUAGCUAGUUGGUGAGGUAAUGGCUCACCAAGGCGACGAUCCGUAGCUGGUCUGAGAGGAUGAUCAGCCACACGUGGAACUGAGACACGGUCCAGACCUCCGUACGGGAGGCAGCAGGUGGGGAAUAGUUGGACAAGUGGGGCGACAAGCCUAGACUCCAGCCCAUACCCGCGGUGGGUAGAAGAAGGUCCGUUCGGGUUACGUAAACGUCCCGUUUUAGUAGGGUAAAAGAAAAGUCGUAAGUUUACGGUUAACGUUACCGGUUACGUUACGUA
This 497-nucleotide ribosomal RNA is filed under the name uncultured soil bacterium. RNAcentral describes it as "bacterial SSU rRNA". It matches the Rfam family "Bacterial small subunit ribosomal RNA", at positions 26 to 493 of the family's 1533-position model. The record is from RNAcentral.